Molecule: long non-coding RNA, 1021 nt
Filed under: Helianthus annuus (common sunflower)
Lineage: Eukaryota; Viridiplantae; Streptophyta; Magnoliopsida; Asterales; Asteraceae
Description: hypothetical non coding rna
Source: RNAcentral
UCCAUUUUGUUGAGAGACCAUUAACGAGAGAGUUUAACCAGAUAUUUUAUCAUCAAUUUGCAGAGAAUCCAUAUUUGUUAUUUUCUUUUCGUUUCUAAUUACAUGAGAUUUUAUCAUCAAUAUGAUUCUACUUUCUGUUACAGGGGACUUAGAGCUUUACUUGUUGGCGUGUUGGGAUUAUCCGACUAUUCCUUGCCAAAGUCCAGAGAGAUUUUGUAAUAUGUUUCUAGAUUUGACCAUAGCCAUUUGCUGAUGUGGGUCAACUGUUCACAGCCAUGUUUGUCGGGUGGAAAAAGCGUAGCUGUUUCGGUCAUAAGCUUGGUGUUGCGUAAUCAGAGGAUGGCUAGCUUCUGCUUGCAAUCCCAGUCGUAGCCAUGGAGAUGUUAUGAUAUGAUAUAGGAGCAACUUUGGCUUGUGGGACUGGAGCGUGUGUAGUAGUUGUUGCGGCUAUUCUCAAGGGUUGUUCUGAGAGAUUGAUUUACCAGGAGGGCCAUUGGAUAUAGAAUGGAGGGAGGAUAACCAUGUGUACAUGAUGGGUCCUGUAGAAGUAGUGUUUUUUUUGGAUCUUUUCAGCUCUAGGAUUCGUACAAUCUCAAAAUAAUUUCCAAAUUUGUGGGAAGUGAGUUAUGAGGAUUGAGGUCUCUAGUAUCGUCAAUAUUUCUUAUGUCUCCAAUGUUUCAUCAGGAGGUACUGAAUGCGGUUACUAUGUGAUGAAGUUCAUGAAGGAGAUAGCUUACGAAUGAGUUGAAAUACUUGACAAUGAUAAUGUUGGGAAAGGAGUAAAGGAAUACUCUGCUGCGGAUAUGUAUGGCAUUCGCGAAGAUUGGUCGACUUAUGCGGUUACCUCUAUUUUUAAGUGACAAAUCGUAUUUUAGGUGUUGACGAUGUAUUGACAAACAAUUCUUUCUUUUUUUGUUAACGUUAAAAUAUUUGUAGUAUACUUGGCAAAAGAUUAUGUAAUGGAAUGGUUUGAUACAUAUAUGUCCGUAUUUGUUUUACGAAAGAGAUUUAUUGUUUUUGU